Non-coding RNA from Biomphalaria pfeifferi, 339 nucleotides. The record is from the annotation of a GenBank genome assembly. Lineage: Eukaryota; Metazoa; Mollusca; Gastropoda; Planorbidae.
GCACUUGGUCGGAUAUGAACUACAGAUUAGCCUAUUCUAGUUUAUUACAAUAAUAGCUUAUUUUUAUUAACUUUAUUUUAGUGGAAGCACUACAUAUUAAGUUGCUUCUUAGCAGAAGGUAAUUGAUUUGAAGAUUUUAAAAACUGGCUAAAAUUUGGUUACUCAAAAUACAGAGGGGUGCAUGUACAUGGUCAGCCAUCAAUUCCUGAUAAGCCAAGGCUAGUCUACUACAACUAUACUUCAGUCACCAGUGGAAGCACUACUUGUUUAGUUGUUAAUUAGAUUUUGAUUGAUCUGAUGGUACAAAAGAUGGGUAGAAUUUGGCUGCCCAGAAUCCCC